GACGAACGCUGGCGGCGUGCCUAAUACAUGCAAGUAGAACGCUGAAGGAGGAGCUUGCUUCUCUGGAUGAGUUGCGAACGGGUGAGUAACGCGUAGGUAACCUGCCUGGUAGCGGGGGAUAACUAUUGGAAACGAUAGCUAAUACCGCAUAAGAGUAGAUGUUGCAUGACAUUUGCUUAAAAGGUGCAGUUGCAUCACUACCAGAUGGACCUGCGGUGUAUUAGCUAGUUGGUGGGGUAACGGCUCACCAAGGCGACGAUACAUAGCCGACCUGAGAGGGUGAUCGGCCACACUGGGACUGAGACACGGCCCAGACUCCUACGGGAGGCAGCAGUAGGGAAUCUUCGGCAAUGGACGGAAGUCUGAACGAGCAACGCCGCGUGAGUGAAGAAGGUUUUCGGAUCGUAAAGCUCUGUUGUAAGAGAAGAACGAGUGUGAGAGUGGAAAGUUCACACUGUGACGGUAUCUUACCAGAAAGGGACGGCUAACUACGUG
This 495-nucleotide ribosomal RNA is filed under the name uncultured bacterium. Its description in RNAcentral is "partial 16S ribosomal RNA". It matches the Rfam family "Bacterial small subunit ribosomal RNA", at positions 28 to 507 of the family's 1533-position model. The record is from RNAcentral.